Molecule: ribosomal RNA, 253 nt
Filed under: uncultured bacterium
Lineage: Bacteria
Description: partial 16S ribosomal RNA
Rfam family: Bacterial small subunit ribosomal RNA
Source: RNAcentral
UACGGAGGGUGCAAGCGUUGCUCGGAAUUAUUGGGCGUAAAGGGCAGGUAGGUGGUCUCAUUUGUCUAGGGUGAAAUCCUUGGGCUUAACCUGAGAAGGGCCUUAGAAACGGUGAGACUAGAGUUCUGGAGAGGGUCGUGGAAUUCCCGGUGUAGCGGUGAAAUGCGUAGAGAUUAGGAAGAACACCAGUGGCGAAGGCGGCUCACUGGCCCGAUACUGACGCUGAGACGCGAAAGCGUGGGGAGCAAACAGG